Long non-coding RNA from Mytilus californianus (California mussel), 539 nucleotides. RefSeq lists it as uncharacterized. Lineage: Eukaryota; Metazoa; Mollusca; Bivalvia; Mytilida; Mytilidae. The transcript has 3 exons. The record is from RefSeq and is a predicted model, not a curated record.
UAAGUGCUACAAAAUAUGAGUAUGACUUUAUUUGUCCUCAUAAGUCCCACUGGAUGUUGAGAGCAACGACACAAAAAUGUGAUAAUCAGGAGUUUUACCACUGUUUGUAUGAUAUAAACACGAAGAAAAUCAGUGAAAAAUGAUUUCGGCCUGAUGAUUAUCCACAAGGAUACCACGGCGUUCUGAGUGGUAAACCUCAUGCAGCGACAUGUUCUGAUGGAUAUUUUGCACCGAAAGUUUCUUGGUCGUACGUGGACUUUAAAUGUCCAUACCAAAAAUCUGUAUGCAGUGAAGAGGGUCAAAUCGUAGUGAACAACGGAUCAAACAAAGAAGACAUUAAAUGUAGAUGUGAUUAUAGAAAAGGAUAUGCAUUCAUUCAUAAUCCUCAAAAUAAUUGCACGUGUUCUCCAUGGACAGAAGACUGUUCGUGUCAUCGAAUACACUGCAAAAACAACAGUUUCAUUUUUUCCGAAGAUUACACAUGUGUACCAAAAGAUCAAGUUCAUUCUGAGCAGAAAUGUACAACGAUUCCAAUGCAU